Molecule: ribosomal RNA, 253 nt
Filed under: uncultured bacterium
Lineage: Bacteria
Description: partial 16S ribosomal RNA
Rfam family: Bacterial small subunit ribosomal RNA
Source: RNAcentral
UACGUAGGGAGCAAGCGUUAAUCGGAAUUACUGGGCGUAAAGCGUGCGCAGGCGGUUUUGUAAGUCUGUCGUGAAAUCCCCGGGCUCAACCUGGGAAUUGCGAUGGAGACUGCAAGGCUAGAAUCUGGCAGAGGGGGGUAGAAUUCCACGUGUAGCAGUGAAAUGCGUAGAGAUGUGGAGGAACACCGAUGGCGAAGGCAGCCCCCUGGGUCAAGAUUGACGCUCAUGCACGAAAGCGUGGGGAGCAAACAGG